ACAGUGUCUGGUGGGUAGUUUGACUGGGGCGGUCUCCUCCUAAAGAGUAACGGAGGAGCACGAAGGUUGGCUAAUCCUGGUCGGACAUCAGGAGGUUAGUGCAAUGGCAUAAGCCAGCUUGACUGCGAGCGUGACGGCGCGAGCAGGUGCGAAAGCAGGUCAUAGUGAUCCGGUGGUUCUGAAUGGAAGGGCCAUCGCUCAACGGAUAAAAGGUACUCCGGGGAUAACAGGCUGAUACCGCCCAAGAGUUCAUAUCGACGGCGGUGUUUGGCACCUCGAUGUCGGCUCAUCACAUCCUGGGGCUGAAGUAGGUCCCAAGGGUAUGGCUGUUCGCCAUUUAAAGUGGUACGCGAGCUGGGUUUAGAACGUCGUGAGACAGUUCGGUCCCUAUCUGCCGUGGGCGCUGGAGAACUGAGGGGGGCUGCUCCUAGUACGAGAGGACCGGAGUGGACGCAUCACUGGUGUUCGGGUUGUCAUGCCAAUGGCACUGCCCGGUAGCUAAAUGCGGAAGAGAUAAGUGCUGAAAGCAUCUAAGCACGAAACUUGCCCCGAGAUGAGUUCUCCCUGACCCUUUAAGGGUCCUGAAGGAACGUUGAAGACGACGACGUUGAUAGGCCGGGUGUGUAAGCGCAGCGAUGCGUUGAGCUAACCGGUACUAAUGAACCGUGAGGCUUAACCUUACAAC
Molecule: ribosomal RNA, 685 nt
Filed under: Escherichia coli
Lineage: Bacteria; Pseudomonadati; Pseudomonadota; Gammaproteobacteria; Enterobacterales; Enterobacteriaceae
Description: partial 23S ribosomal RNA
Rfam family: Bacterial large subunit ribosomal RNA
Source: RNAcentral